RNAcentral lists this ribosomal RNA (253 nucleotides) under uncultured bacterium. RNAcentral's name for it is "partial 16S ribosomal RNA". It matches the Rfam family "Bacterial small subunit ribosomal RNA", at positions 524 to 776 of the family's 1533-position model. The record is from RNAcentral.
AACGUAGGUGGCGAGCGUUAUCCGGAUUUACUGGGCGUAAAGGGUGUGCAGGCGGGCUGUUAAGUGGUGUAUGAAAUAUCCCGGCUCAACCGGGAGAGGUUAUGCCAGACUGGCAGUCUAGAGAGCGAGAGAGGGACGUGGAAUUCCGGGUGUAGUGGUGAAAUGCUUAGAGAUGACAUAGAACACCUAUUGCGAAGGCAGCUAACUACGCGAAUAUUGACGCUGAGGCACGAAAGCGUGGGGAUCAAACAGG